This 174-nucleotide non-coding RNA is filed under the name uncultured Limosilactobacillus sp. Its description in RNAcentral is "Lysine riboswitch". It matches the Rfam family "Lysine riboswitch aptamer". From Rfam's summary of the family: Riboswitches are metabolite binding domains within certain messenger RNAs that serve as precision sensors for their corresponding targets. Allosteric rearrangement of mRNA structure is mediated by ligand binding, and this results in modulation of gene expression. This family includes riboswitches that sense lysine in a number of genes involved in lysine metabolism, including lysC. Lineage: Bacteria; Bacillati; Bacillota; Bacilli; Lactobacillales; Lactobacillaceae. The record is from RNAcentral.
UUCGAAGAGGCGCGACCGACAAGAGUAGCAAUUUGGAGUUAUUCCCGAACGAAGAAGAAUUGCCAAAGGGGAGGUCGCCGAAGCCGGUGGGCCAGGGAAGGCCGACCGCGCUGGGGCGGGGGAUAAGAUCCCCCGGACUGUCGCGGGACAAUUAGGGCCCGCGGUGCGCUAUCG